UACAGUGAUUGUAAGAUGCCAUCAACUC
RNAcentral lists this non-coding RNA (28 nucleotides) under Homo sapiens (human). Lineage: Eukaryota; Metazoa; Chordata; Mammalia; Primates; Hominidae. The record is from RNAcentral.